CAAGAGUGCAUAUGAUAAAAUUAUCAAAGAAUUGGCAAUUUAUGUUUCAAUUACUAACGUAAAAUUUCAAAUAGUUAGUUAAUGAAGGAUUAUCUAAUAGUAAUUACUAAUUUGUUAGUAAACUUGAAUGCCUGCUCCUGAUACUUUAUCUUUCAGUUGACAGCAAACAAUUUCAACCACCAAAAAGUGAUAUUCCACCACUAAAAUGGCAGUUUGAAACUUUGAAUGAAUGCUUUCAUGCUAGCGAAGCAAUCUGUCUGAUUCAACCAAAAACCAACCCUUAUUCCUACGACUUCUGGUGCUUUAAAAACCGCACAUAGUGAUUAGAGUAUCGGGUGGAAGGACUCUGUAGAUCUAUUUGGGUUUAGGGUGAUGGCUCGAAUUGACAAGUGGAAAUCCAGCAGCAGAGAAUGUGCAUCUCUCAAGCAAACAGAAGCCACAAAACCAGCUUGAACAUUCUCCAAACAAGACCAAUUAGGUAAUCAUUGGAACAAGAUCUAUAGAGUAUACAUCUGCACGUUGCUUAAUAUAUGGUUUAUUAGAACUUACAGUUAACACAACUAAAAGUCCAAACAAAGUUGCUCAUAGGUGGUAUCAACGAUUGUUCCUCUGACGAGCUAAUUCUCGUGCCAUCUCCCUCAAUUCCUCUGGUGAGGGAGGCCUUGGUCCCUCCGGGGUAUAAACUAUGUAUGAACGAUCGCCCAUGAAUUUCUGGAGAUUCUUGGUAUUGUUGGCGAAAGUGUACAUAAGAAAGAUGGGAACGGUCACAUACACACCGAACUUGGCGAUCUCCAAAAUCCCCUUUGAUGUUCCCAGCGAUGACAUUUUCCCGAGAAAAAUCCUGCUUACCCAGAAUCUCACCAGGCA
RNAcentral lists this unclassified non-coding RNA (867 nucleotides) under Hevea brasiliensis (rubber tree). Lineage: Eukaryota; Viridiplantae; Streptophyta; Magnoliopsida; Malpighiales; Euphorbiaceae. The record is from RNAcentral.